Molecule: ribosomal RNA, 253 nt
Filed under: uncultured bacterium
Lineage: Bacteria
Description: partial 16S ribosomal RNA
Rfam family: Bacterial small subunit ribosomal RNA
Source: RNAcentral
UACGAAGGGGGCUAGCGUUGCUCGGAAUCACUGGGCGUAAAGCGCACGUAGGCGGAUUGCUAAGUCAGGGGUGAAAUCCUGGAGCUCAACUCCAGAACUGCCUUUGAUACUGGCGAUCUCGAGUCCGGAAGAGGAGAAUGGAAUUCCCGGUGUAGCGGUGAAAUGCGCAGAUAUCGGGAAGAACACCCGUGGCGAAGGCGGUUCUCUGGGACGGUACUGACGCUGAGACGCGAAAGCGUGGGGAGCGAACAGG